RNAcentral lists this ribosomal RNA (253 nucleotides) under uncultured bacterium. Its description in RNAcentral is "partial 16S ribosomal RNA". It matches the Rfam family "Bacterial small subunit ribosomal RNA", at positions 524 to 776 of the family's 1533-position model. The record is from RNAcentral.
UACGAAGGGGGCUAGCGUUACUCGGAUUGACUGGGCGUAAAGGGCGCGUAGGCGGUUCGUACAGUCAGACGUGAAAUUCCUGGGCUCAACCUGGGGGCUGCGUUUGAUACGUGCGGGCUUGAGUUCGGAAGAGGGUCGUGGAAUUCCCAGUGUAGAGGUGAAAUUCGUAGAUAUUGGGAAGAACACCGGUGGCGAAGGCGGCGACCUGGUCCGAUACUGACGCUGAGGCGCGAAAGCGUGGGGAGCGAACAGG